This 71-nucleotide transfer RNA is filed under the name Bos taurus (domestic cattle). It matches the Rfam family "tRNA". Rfam says of the family: Transfer RNA (tRNA) molecules are approximately 80 nucleotides in length. RNAcentral also lists the same sequence under 4 other names. Lineage: Eukaryota; Metazoa; Chordata; Mammalia; Artiodactyla; Bovidae. The record is from Rfam by way of RNAcentral.
UCCCUAGUGGCUCAGUUGGUAAAGAAUCUGCCUACAGUGCAGGAGACCUGGUUCAAUCCCUGGCUUGGGAA